AUGCGAAUUCUCGUUCUCUGGAUUGUUUGUGGAACUUGUCUGAUAGACUCGAGUCAUGGGGAUUCUGUUACUCAGACGGUGUCCUCAGAAGUGAAGACAGAAGGAGAGGAGGUGGCUUUCAGCUGCAGAUAUGAUACUACAGAGAGCAGCUACAGGUUAUAUUGGUACCGGCAACUGUCAGACUCAAGACCUGAGUUCAUACUGAGCAAACGUUCAGGUGGACGUGAAGAUAAAGCAGAUUUUGCCCAAAAUCGCUUCAGCGUCCAUCUCCAAACAGAAAGAAAAUUCACUCGUUUGACCAUCUCAUCGCUGCAACUGAGCGACUCAGCAGUUUAUUACUGCGCUUUAAGCCACACAGUGAUGUAAACCAGUUAAACCCUCGUACAUAA
This is a non-coding RNA of Pristis pectinata (smalltooth sawfish), 389 nucleotides long. The record is from the annotation of a RefSeq genome assembly. NCBI's taxonomy places the organism in Eukaryota, Metazoa, Chordata, Chondrichthyes, Rhinopristiformes, Pristidae.